RNAcentral lists this transfer RNA (73 nucleotides) under Chloroflexota bacterium. RNAcentral's name for it is "tRNA-Thr". It matches the Rfam family "tRNA". From Rfam's summary of the family: Transfer RNA (tRNA) molecules are approximately 80 nucleotides in length. The record is from RNAcentral. RNAcentral also lists the same sequence under 3 other names. Lineage: Bacteria; Bacillati; Chloroflexota.
GCCGACGUAGCUCAACAGGUAGAGCAAUGCUCUUGUAAAGCAUCGGUUAUGGGUUCAAGUCCCAUCGUCGGCU